GGCAGUUUUCAUCUUGCUGUCCAGUUAAGUAAGUUGCUAUGCCACUUGAAGACAUUCUCAUUUGGAUAUUGGUCCUUGAUUUUGGAUGGAUAACCAACAAGAUUGUAUGAGAAGCAUCAACGGGUAUAUCAUUGGCUGUCCAACAGCCAAAGGUUCAAAUUGUGGAUACACACAGUAACCACUAACCAGUACUCCAUCCAGUGGCGGAAAAAUUUAAUAACGGGUGCUCUUUUGUGGCCCAUCAACAUCUAGCAAUGAUCCCUUUUCCUAGUUUGGACUUCUUUACGC
RNAcentral lists this unclassified non-coding RNA (288 nucleotides) under Hevea brasiliensis (rubber tree). The record is from RNAcentral. Lineage: Eukaryota; Viridiplantae; Streptophyta; Magnoliopsida; Malpighiales; Euphorbiaceae.